AGCCUCGCUGCAGUCCUCCGGCACCCACGCAACGGCAGCAGCAACAACUAGCCAAGGGCGAUCGCUUGCGUGUACGUGUGUUGGUCUGCCUUCUCGGUGGUUCGCGCUUGUCCUCUUCGAGCUCCCCCGUUCCUUCUGCCGCCGCUUCCAUUCGCACGAGAGCAGCAGGCGCGGACGUGUUUCGUCUUUUUUCUCUGUAAUUGACACGCUCGCACGCGCCGGCGUGUGCCAGCCCGAGUAUGGAGCAGCAAGGUGAGGCAGAGGCACCACCGUCGCCGACACAGCCUACCGAUGCGCCAACGGUGAAGACCAGCUCGGCUGACGGGGCAAGCGGUGCGCCGCCUAGUGCAGCUAACGCUCCUGCCGGUACGAAGGGCAUCAACUCGGUGCUUCAGCAAGUCGACGGCCCCGUUGUGGCCACUGGCCAUGCGCAAGAGGAUGGCGCCAACGCUCCCACCGCGGUUGUAAGGGGCAAAGCCAGCGCGAAGGCGGUGAAGCGGGAAGUUGGGAGCAGCAGGGUCGACGGCACGCCAAGUGCCAUAGCCGCGUCGUCGACGUCGUUGGUUUUUAGCCAAGGAAGCAACAAGACGGAUAAUCAUAUGCCACAUUCCACCGCGCCGGUACACCUCGGAGACGGAGUUCAGUAUAGCUCGGCGAUCGCCGUCGGGUCAGCGCACACGGCUGCGCCACAUCAGCCGCGCUUGUCAUCGUCGCCGCGCUACUCGCACAGCGGUCGGCAAGUCAUUUCGGACGCGUGCAAGCGCUCCGAGCCGUUCCUGCGCGGCGCUGAUGGCAACUACAGCACCGUGUACGCCGCAAGUGGCCUGACCGUUAACGCACAGUACCAGACGAUCCCUGAGGAGCACGCCGAGUACCGCCAGCGCAACAAGGUGAACCUCAAUUACCGGGGGCCUCUCUACGUGGUCGAGGAUGUGUGCGUGCCGUGCAACGCCUGUGGCGGCCCUGUUGACCCUGUGCGCCGCGUACCGGUCGGCUCCCUCUUUUUCCAUGAAGGAUGCCUUCAGUGCUACCUGUGUGGACGUCGCACCGGUGUCGCAGGUCUAUAUAUGCAGGUCGAUCGCCAAGCUGUCUGCAGCGAGUGCGCCGGCCGCGGCUACGAGCAUUGGGUGCCGCGCCAAGAGGUGGAGUCGCGCGGCAUGGUGUACGGCGCCACGCGAGGCGAUGUUUAUGCAGCUAUGGACGCGCAUGACCGCGGUGCUGCGAAGCAUCGGCAACGGCGCAUUGGGAGCCUGCCCAUCACAGCGGGUGGCGGCCCCUCGACAUUGAACAAGGCUAUCGUGCCGGGAGCGCUGCCGCCGACUCUCUCCAUCGCCAACGUGCACAACCGCCGGAACACCAGUGCCCGCUCCUUUGCACUGAUGGAGCGGCAGCAGUACUACACCCAGAGCGAUAACAACGUCAUUAUGGCGUUGCCUGCCUCGGCGGCGCGGCCGCCGUCCGUGACUGGCGGGCGAAAAGGUAGCACGGCGCCGCUGCAGUACCGCCUCACAAGCGGACGACACGCGUGAUGGUUGCCGGUGCAGCGUCAAGGGAAACUCAAUCGUGUAUACUCCUCUACUCGAUCUCCCCCCCCCACACACACACCUUCUCUUUCUCUUUUGUGUGUGUGGUAUCGAGGCCGUGAUGCUCAUCUCGACGCGAGGGUGGUUCACUUCCAUCACGUAUGCGUACAAGGGCCACCUCCUUCCCUCUCCUGCUCUCUGUGGGCUGUUUCGUUAUUGUUGCUCGGAUUGCCCUUGGCGUGUGUGCGCGUGGGCGGUUUCUCGGACGGCUUUAUGUAUCACAUGUACAGUACGAAACUCGCUUCAUUUUCUUUUGCGGAAUACAGCGGGGGAGGGGAGGCGGAGGAUGAGGAGGGCCUUUUCUCUUCCUCUUCUGGUUCUCCGUGUCGUUGGUGCCAUGGGCGUGUCGGUGCGUGCGACUGGAGCGGGUGGGAGACGCAGUCACAGAAAGAAAGGAACGUUAAGGGCUUAUGUAUGUGUGCGCGUGUGUCUUGCAUCAUGCCUGCCUCGCCGCUCAUGUGGCACCCGCCUUUCUGUCGUGCUUCCGUUCUCAUACCCUCCUUCUCUUCCUCUUCACGCCGAUCUACUUCAGGCUCGACGAGCGCAAUAGCUCAUGGCAGCGGCGCGAGAAAGGACGAUGGGGGAGGGGAGCUUACUGGGAAGGAGUCUGCGGGACCGCGCACCGAUCCCAUCCCGCUCACCGCGUGCGGUUAUACAAGUCAGCGUCUUCGCUGGUUGUAUGCUUUUUUUGUUGUUGCCUUUUUUCAUUGCUGAAAGACACGAUGUACUCUCUCUGUGCAAGGAAGCGUUGUGAGGAAUGCAUCGCGCCCCCCUGCACGCUAGUCUUUUGAAGCCCUUUCUCUUCUUCUUACUCGUCAUCUCUGUGUCGUUGCGCAUCGCUGUCGAAGUUUUAGAGGUGUACGUGUGUGCCUCUCAAGGCGCCUGUCUCGGCUGUCGCGCUCUCCCACCGUGUGCAUCUACUUGCGGGCUGGCUUGCUGGUUCGCAUGCUGCCUAGUGGUACAAAACACACUUUGGCAGGCACUUCCUCUGCGUACCGGGAUAAUGGAGCUCCUGUGGCUUGAAUUCCGCUGCGAUACAGGGGCUUGCACGUGCGGGUGUGCCUGCGAGGUAGGAAGGGAACGAGGAAAAAAGGUGGGCAAAGGUGGCCCGCCGCACAUAGUCUGUAGGCUUCCCUCCUCUCUCGAUGCACAUUGCCCUCACACAUGUUGAGAGGUAUCAAGAGAGACGAACCCCCUCCUCGCAGCUCUCGUCUCGCUGGCAGGUUGUCGUCCUUCCGCUGUAAUAAGCAGCAAAUACUUGCGCCUGGCAUCUUAUCCCCCUCCCCCUUCACAUCUGCCGGUAGUGUAAUCUUGCAUCCUCGCGCCUGUCCAUCAUGUCCGCGCGUCUGUCGACGCACACGCAUGCGCAUGCGUCUAUCGCUCGCCCCUCCUUCUCUUUCCACCUCCGUUUCAUUUUGCGUUUUUCGCUUUUGGUUUGUGCUCCGCUGUCGUCGUCGUUGCUGCCGCUUCACUGUGCGCGCCGGCCACUCCCCCGGCGGGUGCACCUACAG
RNAcentral lists this unclassified non-coding RNA (3094 nucleotides) under Leishmania donovani. RNAcentral's name for it is "gene:LdHU3.33.3920(CDS-product:LIM_domain_contain ing_protein_putative)". The record is from RNAcentral. Lineage: Eukaryota; Euglenozoa; Kinetoplastea; Trypanosomatida; Trypanosomatidae.